RNAcentral lists this small RNA (25 nucleotides) under Bombyx mori (domestic silkworm). RNAcentral describes it as "ovarian small RNA-29155". Lineage: Eukaryota; Metazoa; Arthropoda; Insecta; Lepidoptera; Bombycidae. The record is from RNAcentral.
UCGUAGGUACCAUAGCCCUUGGGAA